UUUUGUAUCCCACUUUUUUUUUUAAAAAAAUUACACCUACGGUGCACAACAAUUGUUGAGGGUUUAAGCUUGGUCCCCCCUCUUCUCGGUGCUGGAUCUGCCAUGAAAGCCAUUUUUCGCCGCCGGUGAUAGACUAGCCACCAGACCUGACGGUAAAAUUGAUACUACUUAAAUUUUAAUUAUGGAUCUAAUUAAAAGGAACAACUUGAGGAAGCAUCAAUGCAAGCUAGUAGACUUCAAUUUUAACAAAGGUAAUAUUUGUUACUACUUUAAAAUUUUAAUUAAAAGGAACCGUUUUAGGAAGCAUCAAUGCAAGCUAGUGGACUUCAAUUUUAAGAAAGCCACCAUACCUGAUGACGGUAAAAUCCAUACUACUUUAAAAUUUUAAUUAAAAGGAACCAUUUCACGAAGCAUCAAUGCAAGCUAGUGGACUUCAAUUUAAACAAAAGUCCAAAUUCAAGUCAGGGAGUAUUAGGACUCUCUUUGGUGAUUCGUGACCAAUCUGAAUCUCAAUUUGAGCACCGCUCCCCUGAAACAUUUUCCUCACUUAUAUUUUCAUCUCAACUUAUAUUUUCUCAAUUUGACCAAUCUUAAUCUUGAAUUUUAUAUCCACUUAUAUUUUGUCACGUUUUCUUUUAUAGGUAAUAUUGUUGCUACUUUAAAAUUUUAAUUAAAAGGAACCGUUUGAGGAAGCAUCAAUGCAAGCUAGUGGACUUCAUUUUAACAAAGAGCUCUUGAAGUUUUUUUUGGAGGCGGCAUGCACAUUUCUUGACACCCAGGUGUUUCUUACCUAGAAGUUCGAGGAAAUUAGAGACAAAAACAUAUAGAAAUGUGAACCUGUGCAUCUCCGAGGGAAUUGCUUCUUGCUAUGUUUACUGCGGUGAAGUGUGGGAAACAUCAAUUAACGGUUCAACAGUAGAUUGACAAUAUUUAUUACAUAUUAGAGAACCAAGUUUAUUUUAUGCCAAGUUCAUCAACCAUGGAGGCUAUAUAUACCUACUGUGAGUUGGAAAUUGAGGCUUAUCCGUUGCUGGAUGAACUGACAUCGAAGAUCAGUAUGUACUCUAAAUUUGGAACGCGCUCGUUCGUAGAAAAGCAGACUUGUUGCCCUUACUAGGAGGGUUCAGAAGGUUAGAGUCGAAAUAAAGCAAGUUAUGGAUGAUGACGGUGAUAUGGCUGAAAUGUACCUUACGGAGAAGAAAAGACGGAUAUGACUGUCAUUUGAUGGAGAUCAGUUUAUGCUUGGAUAUAGAUCAGUCACUCCUGUUUCAACACCACCUGAUUUUAGAAGGCUUGAUAAGAGCUUGAGCAUUGCUAGGAGUGUACACAAGAGGAUGAGAAGUAGCGAAUGUAAUGCAGAAAAUAUAGAAGAGCUUGAGAUGUUGUUAGAAACAUACUUUGUUGUCAUUGAUAGCACACUCUAAACAAGUUGACAUCGGGACCCUCUAACAUUGAACUUGAGGGAAAGCUGUUGUUUCCUCUUAUUGUGGGUGAAUUAUGUGCUGUUCAUUAAGUUAAUAAAGAAGCACCAAAGCUCGUUUACACUACAGGCAAGAGUCUUCUACAAUAGGAAAAUGAAGCACAAGAAUUAGAGGUUUACCUAGAAACAGAAUCACUGAUAGGAUAUUUAUUUACUGCACAAUAAAUUGAUUUGUGAGGCGAAAGAAUCGAUGAAUGUUGAAUGGGAGAGUAUUUCUUUGGAGGAGGAUAGUGUUGAUCUGGAUUGGAUGAAUGAACUCAAUCCACUAAUUGUAACUAAUGAUAACUUUAUCAUUUUUAACCAAGUUGGAUUGCAAUAAUAAAACUGAGUAUACAUGUUUAAUGAAGAACCAGAGAUGGUGGAUGGCUUUAUGAUUAUAGCUUAUAACGUUAGUUAAUUGCUCAGUAGUGCUUCGCCACUACCGUAGCUGGCGGAAAUAGCUUAAUGGUAGAGCAUAGCCUUGUAAUGAUUACUGUAUGAUGUCAAAUGACUAUUGAUGAGGUACUGUUAUUUUAAGCAAUAACCAAGUUUUUGAAAUUUGAAUGCUUUAGGAUGUGAAUGAUUUAUGUUGGUUCUAUAUGCUUGAAGCCAUGAAUAUAUAUAGAUAAAAGAAUAUUGAGAAACCAUUGGCUACUUGAGUGAUUGGUUAAGAAGAGCUCUAGUAUAGUACAAUACUAAUUAGGAUUGGUCAUAGUAACUAACUACAGUGAGACAAGAGCAUGUACAGGAUCACACGGGAUUGUCUAGAGGUCUUUCCAAAGACCAAAUGUGAUAAUGUAUAUAAUAUAAGUCCCACCUUCUAUAAAUAAAACCAACAUAUUACCCCACCUGUACAUGCAAGAGUUCUGGUAUUCAAAUUUUUGGUAUGUCUUAAACAACUAUUGAUACUUACUUAGGGAGGCAAGGACCGCGAAGUUCUGUGCAAAUUUCACGGGGUUGGUUUUAUAAAAAUAUAAAUUGUGGUUCAUAAUGGCUCAUGAUCUUGUGUUCUAUAUUGAUUCUCUUCUUUUCUCCUAACAUUGUUUCUGAGCU
Long non-coding RNA from Trifolium pratense (red clover), 2512 nucleotides. RefSeq lists it as uncharacterized. The record is from RefSeq and is a predicted model, not a curated record. Lineage: Eukaryota; Viridiplantae; Streptophyta; Magnoliopsida; Fabales; Fabaceae. The transcript is spliced from 12 exons.